AUGGACAUUCACGACCACGUUUGGCGGGAAGAGUUUUUCCUAAAUUGUCACAGAGUCAUAAAGUUAAUGUUUGGCUACGUGAAGCAUUUACACAAAAUCUUUCCUUUUUUCAGGGUGAGCUCCUUUUCACGGAGCUGGAACAGGAACCCUGAGUUGGAGAAUAUUUGGACCAGCCUCUGCUGCUGCCCUGAAGCAUGUUGAACACUGACUGGUCCAGCCAGGCAAACAAAGGGUUAAGGUACCGUCUCUCCUUCAAGAUUUUUCUAGAAGGAAGACUUUUUUUUUUAAGUUUAUUUAUUUUGAGAGAGAGAGAGAGCACAAGCAGAGGAGGGGCAGAGAGAGAGGGAGAGGGAGAGAAUCCAAAGCAGGCUCUGCACUGACAUGGGGUUGAACUCACGAACCAUGAGACCAUGACCUGAGCUGAAAUCAAGGGUCAGAUACUUAACUGACUGAGCCACCUGGGCACGUCCUAGGAGGGAGCCUUUCUGUACGCUCAUCUCUCUCCUGGCCUCCCCUCUCAUCUACCAGCCUCCUAUUUUGCCUGACCUGCGGUCCAGUCCCCCACCUGCAGCCAGAGUCUUCUUCAUAAAAGGUAGGUCUUACCAAGUCACUCUACUGCCUAACACCUUCUUGAUUUCCCAUCGUUCUUGGAUCGCCCACGAGCUGGCCACUGCCCCAUCCCAGCUCCUACUCCCCUAUCUCCUCCUUACAUCAAACAUUCCAACAGCACAGGAAGCUGGUUUCCUUCCCAUGCCUCCCUGCUUUUGCUCAUGCUGUCCUCUGACCUACAGUGCCCCCUCCCCACCUGUCUGCUAGUCUGACCCCUACUCUUCCUGUUAGACUGAGCUUCUUUUCCUCCUCCACUUGUAGUCCACGUGGCCCAGGAGUGCUCAGCACAUGGUGUUAUAGCUACAGAAGAUAGAUACAGUGGUAAUUAUGUGCUUAAUGUCUGUCUCUGGGGAUGGGCAAACCCCCUGUGAGCGUGGGCUGUGGCUGUCUUAUUCCCUACAGUAUGUGCAGCACACUGGGUGAGGAGCGGUAAACAGGCAACGCUUUUGUAGUGCUAACUGUGCACCCAGCCAGGAAUUGUUCUAAGAAUCUCACGUGUGUUAGCUCAUUUAAUCCUUACCACAACUCAGUGGGAUACAUAUUGUUAUGAGUCCCUGUUUACAGAUGAGAAAAUAGGCACAGGGAGGUGAAU
Molecule: long non-coding RNA, 1201 nt
Filed under: Felis catus (domestic cat)
Lineage: Eukaryota; Metazoa; Chordata; Mammalia; Carnivora; Felidae
Description: lncRNA (ENSFCAG00000050018.1)
Source: RNAcentral